Molecule: long non-coding RNA, 1806 nt
Filed under: Triticum aestivum (bread wheat)
Lineage: Eukaryota; Viridiplantae; Streptophyta; Magnoliopsida; Poales; Poaceae
Description: long non-coding RNA (TAES_LNC018759)
Source: RNAcentral
UAAAUUUGUAUGUAACGCAUGCCAAAAGGGCAAAAGUUGUUGUUGCAACAUUGGGGCAACCCUAGCUACCUCUCCCUCUCACGGCUGGACGGAGGUAGAAGAAGACACAAGAAAUUCCGGGCCGGCGCACGAACGCCGCCGUGGGCGCACGCAUGCCCUAAUCUUUCCUCUCCUUUACAAUGUCUACAUGGCUGGCUCCAACUCAACCAACCAAUACACCGGGGGUGGGUUUUAUACCCAACACGCACACACACAGCCAGGCAACAACCUGCCCGGCUCUUAUGCACACGACUUGCUCCACUACAUGCACUCACGCACUAAUAGCUGACUUGAUCACCCAUGAUCCACAUGACCCGGACCUGCCUCUCCGCAGAUCCCUACCGCCACGCUACACACACCAACAAACUAGUUUGCUAUAGUCGCACACACGACACACACAAACGAACUAGCUAGCUACUGCCAGCCAUGCUACUGCACACACGCUACACACAAUAGGUCGCCACAGACCUGGCACGUACGCGCACACUCGCCGGUCACCACGGACCUGAGCAUGUCUUAUUCCCAUCAUUCACGCCCUAAGCCAUGAUCCGCCGUCACCGUAGUUGGUGCAGCUUCCAUCGUUGUCGUCGUCACGGCCGCAGACUCGACCUGGCGCACUGACGGCCAUGAUUUCCUCGAGCUCGAACUCGACUCCGGGCACUGCCAUUACAACGUACACGGGGGGUUUUAUACCCAGAGACGCGCCGGGCACGCACCCACGUCCCAGCCCACGUCGAGCACCCGUCCCGCCCGCUCUGCCCGCGCCCCCUCCGACAUGCACGCACACGUCUGGGUGCGGCGAGCCCGUGAUGUACCAACUCAACGCGCACACCCCCGCUCGCCAACGGCCACCCUACACCACGGUCCCGCCGCGCCUGACGCGCCCGGCGCGCGCCCAUACACGCGCCUGACGCAUCCGAAACGAGCGCCGCAGCUCUGUGCCACGCGCCUCCACCGUUGUCGCGCCGAGCCGCCGCGACGCGCUCCCUGUGUCGUCGUCGUCGUUGAAGCCGCCACCACGCAGGUCCUCCACGGCCUCCUGACCGUGCCGCCGCAGCCACCAUGCAGUGCCUCGGCGGCCUCCACGGUCGCCGCACGUACGACGUUACCGCCCGCCGCCUCCGCCACGCGCCAUGACAGCUGCAGCACCGCCCUCCUCCAGAGGCCGACACACGGCCCGGAGCUCCAUCGCACAGCCGCCGGCGAGCGCUGCCAUCGCUGCCACGCCUCCGGCACGGCACGCACGCCCAAGACACAAAGCUCUGAUACCAAAUGUUGUUGCAACAUUGGGGCAAUCCUAGCUACCUCUCCCUCUCACGGCUGGACGGAGGUAGAAGAAGACAUAAGAAAUUCCGGGCCGGCGCACGAACGCCGCCGUGGGCGCACGCAUGCCCUAAUCUUUCCUCUCCUUUACAAUGUCUACAUGGCUGGCUCCAACUCAACCAACCAAUACACCGGGGGUGGGUUUUAUACCCAACACGCACACACAGCCAGGCAACAACCUGCCCGGCUCUUAUGCACACGACUUGCUCCACUACAUGCACUCACGCACUAAUAGCUGACUUGAUCACCCAUGAUCCACAUGACCCGGACCUGCCUCUCCGCAGAUCCCUACAGCCACGCUACACACACCAACAAACUAGUUUGCUACAGCCGCACACACGACGCACACCAACGAACUAGCUAGCUACUGCCAGCCAUGCUACUGCACACACGCUACACACGGCCGGUCGCCACAGACCUGGCACGUACGCGCACACUCGCCGG